RNAcentral lists this ribosomal RNA (253 nucleotides) under uncultured bacterium. Its description in RNAcentral is "partial 16S ribosomal RNA". It matches the Rfam family "Bacterial small subunit ribosomal RNA", at positions 524 to 776 of the family's 1533-position model. The record is from RNAcentral.
UACAGAGGUCUCGAGCGUUAGGCGGAAUCACUGGGCUUAAAGGGCGCGUAGGCGGCUUGGCAAGUGGAAGGUGAAAUCCCUCGGCUUAACCGAGGAACUGCCCUCCAAACUGCUUCGCUUGAGACCGGGAGAGGUGAGUGGAAUUCCCAGUGUAGCGGUGAAAUGCGUAGAUAUUGGGAGGAACACCAGUGGCGAAGGCGGCUCACUGGACCGGUACUGACGCUGAUGCGCGAAAGCGUGGGGAGCAAACGGG